GGUCCCUUAGCUCAGUUGGUUAGAGCGUGGUGCUAAUAUCGGGGAUGAUUCAUCAUCUAAUGAUGAAAUAUUCGAUACAAGUAACGCCAAGGUCGCAGGUUCGACCCCUGCAGGGACCA
This is a non-coding RNA of Ascodesmis nigricans, 119 nucleotides long. NCBI's taxonomy places the organism in Eukaryota, Fungi, Ascomycota, Pezizomycetes, Pezizales, Ascodesmidaceae. The record is from the annotation of a GenBank genome assembly.